Molecule: ribosomal RNA, 460 nt
Filed under: uncultured bacterium
Lineage: Bacteria
Description: partial 16S ribosomal RNA
Rfam family: Bacterial small subunit ribosomal RNA
Source: RNAcentral
CCUACGGGGGGCAGCAGUGAGGAAUAUUGGUCAAUGGGCGCGAGCCUGAACCAGCCAAGUAGCGUGAAGGAUGACUGCCCUACGGGCUGUAAACUUCUUUUAUAAAGGAAUACAGUGAGGCACGUGUGCCUUUUUGUAUGUACUUUAUGAUUAAGGAUCGGCUAACUCCGUGUCAGCAGCCGCGGUACUACGGAGGAUCCGAGCGUUAUCCGGUUUUAGUGGGUUGAAAGGGAGAGUAGAUGGGUUGUUAAGUCAGUUGUGAAAGUUUGCGGCUCAACCGUAAAAUUGCAAUGGAUACUGGCAGCCUUGAGUGCAGUUGAGGUGGGCGGAAUUCGUGGUGUAGCGGUGAAAUGCUUAGAUAUCACGAAGAACUCCGAUGGCGAAGGCAGCCUACUAACCUGCCACUGACAUUGAUGCUCGAAAGUGUGGGUAUCAAACAGGAUUAGAUACCCGUGUAGUC